This 90-nucleotide unclassified non-coding RNA is filed under the name Bartonella clarridgeiae. RNAcentral's name for it is "partial miscellaneous RNA". The record is from RNAcentral. Lineage: Bacteria; Pseudomonadati; Pseudomonadota; Alphaproteobacteria; Hyphomicrobiales; Bartonellaceae.
GAUCUGUUUGCACAAGCCUCUGAGAGGGAUGAAGAUAUUGUUUUCUUUGAUCAGAUUAUGCCGGUAAAGGUUUUCUGGUUUACCCUAUAG